Molecule: small RNA, 83 nt
Filed under: Marmota monax (woodchuck)
Lineage: Eukaryota; Metazoa; Chordata; Mammalia; Rodentia; Sciuridae
Source: RNAcentral
GCCGGGUGUGGUGAUGCACACCUGUAAUCCCAAUGGCUUGGGAGGCUGAGGCACGAGGAUCAUAAGUUCAAAGCCAGCCUCAG